Molecule: ribosomal RNA, 424 nt
Filed under: uncultured bacterium
Lineage: Bacteria
Description: bacterial SSU rRNA
Rfam family: Bacterial small subunit ribosomal RNA
Source: RNAcentral
UGAGGAAUAUUGGUCAAUGGGCGCAAGCCUGAACCAGCCAUCCCGCGUGCAGGAAGACGGCGCUAUGCGCUGUAAACUGCUUUUCCAGGGGGAGAAACUUGCGCACGUGUUGCGCAAUUGACGGUACCCUGGGAAUAAGCAUCGGCUAACCCCGUGCCAGCAGCCGCGGUAAUACGGAGGAUGCGAGCGUUAUCCGGAUUCAUUGGGUUUAAAGGGUGCGUAGGCGGACUAUUAAGUCAGUGGUGAAAUCCUGCAGCUUAACUGCAGAACUGCCAUUGAUACUGAUAGCCUUGAGUUUGGUUAAGGUAGGCGGAAUGUGUAAUGUAGCGGUGAAAUGCUUAGAUAUUACACAGAACACCAAUUGCGUAGGCAGCUUACUGAGCCGACACUGACGCUGAGGCACGAAAGCGUGGGGAUCGAACAG